GGCGGACGGGUGAGUAAUGCAUAGGAAUCUGCCCAUGUAGUGGGGGACAACUUCGGGAAACCGGAGCUAAUACCGCAUACGUCCUACGGGGGAAAGGAGGGGAUCUUCGGACCUUUCGCUAUGAGAUGAGCCUGCGUUAGAUUAGCUAGUUGGUAGGGUAAAGGCCUACCAAGGCGACGAUCUAUAGCUGGUCUGAGAGGACGAUCAGCCACACUGGGACUGAGACACGGCCCAGACUCC
Molecule: ribosomal RNA, 240 nt
Filed under: uncultured bacterium
Lineage: Bacteria
Description: partial 16S ribosomal RNA
Rfam family: Bacterial small subunit ribosomal RNA
Source: RNAcentral